MicroRNA precursor from Medicago truncatula (barrel medic), 190 nucleotides. It matches the Rfam family "MIR2619 microRNA precursor family". NCBI's taxonomy places the organism in Eukaryota, Viridiplantae, Streptophyta, Magnoliopsida, Fabales, Fabaceae. The record is from Rfam.
AAACAGUCCCCUAUGUAUUGGAUCUUUGGCAGUUUUGGCCCCAAGAUCACUUUUGACUUGGUCUUCGCUAACAUGGCACCCACAAUGGUCGACACGUGGCACCUCACUUAAGGGAUGUGGGUGCCACAUCAGCGAAAACCAAGUCAAAAGUGGCCUGGGGGCCAAAGAUCCAAUACAUAGGGGGCUGUUU